GAGCAGAGUAUACCGCAGACAUCAUUUCUACUACAGUGGCGGAGCCGUACAGGACCUGUUUCACUGCAGGGGGAUCCAAAACAAGCCCCGUGGAGCAGCAGCCAGAGCAACAGCAGCCGCAAGACAUUGUUUCUCUCCCUCUGCCCCCCCUUCCCCACGCAACCCCAGAUCCAUUUACACUUUACAGAGCAUCGUGCAUCAAGUCACCAGGGUGGUCCAUUCAAGCUGCAGAUUUAUUUGUCAUCCUUGUACAACAGUCUCCUCCUCCACUGCCACUACAGGGAAGUGCAUCACAUGUCAGCAUACUGGAGCAUAGUGGAAGAGUCUAUUUUGAAGCUUCAAACGUAGUGCUGCUGCAGACCAGGAACAAGAGAGAAAGAGUGGAUUUCAGCCUGCACGGAUGGUCUUGA
This 410-nucleotide long non-coding RNA is filed under the name Theropithecus gelada (gelada). Its description in RNAcentral is "lncRNA (ENSTGEG00000018194.1)". Lineage: Eukaryota; Metazoa; Chordata; Mammalia; Primates; Cercopithecidae. The record is from RNAcentral.